CUUAUGGUGCCGGAGUUUACGGAACGCUUUGAUGUGGCGGUUACGGUAGGACAUACCUCAUAAGG
This 65-nucleotide transfer RNA is filed under the name Hoplopleura kitti. RNAcentral's name for it is "tRNA-Ile". Lineage: Eukaryota; Metazoa; Arthropoda; Insecta; Psocodea; Hoplopleuridae. The record is from RNAcentral.